This 65-nucleotide transfer RNA is filed under the name Streptomyces himalayensis subsp. himalayensis. RNAcentral describes it as "Streptomyces sp. PSKA28 tRNA-OTHER". It matches the Rfam family "tRNA". From Rfam's summary of the family: Transfer RNA (tRNA) molecules are approximately 80 nucleotides in length. Their secondary structure includes four short double-helical elements and three loops (D, anti-codon, and T loops). The record is from RNAcentral. Lineage: Bacteria; Bacillati; Actinomycetota; Actinomycetes; Kitasatosporales; Streptomycetaceae.
GGACGGAUAGCUCAGUGGCAGAGACCCCGGGUGGGGUGACGUGGGUUCGAUUCCCACUCCGUCUA